This 535-nucleotide small RNA is filed under the name Pan troglodytes (chimpanzee). Its description in RNAcentral is "retained intron". The record is from RNAcentral. Lineage: Eukaryota; Metazoa; Chordata; Mammalia; Primates; Hominidae.
GUCAGCAUCGGCUACCUCCUGGUGAAGCACAGCCAGACGGACCAGGAGCCCAUGUGCCCGGUGGGCAUGAACAAGCUCUGGAGUGGAUACAGCCUGCUGUACUUCGAGGGCCAGGAGAAGGCGCACAACCAGGACCUGGGGCUGGCGGGCUCCUGCCUGGCGCGGUUCAGCACCAUGCCCUUCCUGUACUGCAACCCUGGUGAUGUCUGCUACUAUGCCAGCCGGAACGACAAGUCCUACUGGCUCUCUACCACUGCGCCGCUGCCCAUGAUGCCUGUGGCCGAGGACGAGAUCAAGCCCUACAUCAGCCGCUGCUCUGUGUGUGAGGCCCCAGCUGUCGCCAUCGCGGUCCACAGUCAGGAUGUCUCCAUCCCACACUGCCCAGCUGGGUGGCGGAGUUUGUGGAUCGGAUAUUCCUUCCUCAUGGUAUGUGGUAUUUGCCCAGUUCCCCUCCCCAACCACACCCUGCUGGGGACACAGCAAGAACAGCUGCCUUUGUAAGAAUAAUCAGACAGGGCAGUUCAGGGUGUGCACU